RNAcentral lists this ribosomal RNA (1345 nucleotides) under Comamonas kerstersii. RNAcentral describes it as "16S ribosomal RNA". It matches the Rfam family "Bacterial small subunit ribosomal RNA", at positions 45 to 1386 of the family's 1533-position model. The record is from RNAcentral. Lineage: Bacteria; Pseudomonadati; Pseudomonadota; Betaproteobacteria; Burkholderiales; Comamonadaceae.
UGCCUUACACAUGCAAGUCGAACGGCAGCACGGACUUCGGUCUGGUGGCGAGUGGCGAACGGGUGAGUAAUACAUCGGACCGUGCCUAGUAGUGGGGGAUAACUACUCGAAAGAGUGGCUAAUACCGCAUGAGAUCUACGGAUGAAAGCAGGGGAUCGCAAGACCUUGUGCUACUAGAGCGGCCGAUGGCAGAUUAGGUAGUUGGUGGGAUAAAAGCUUACCAAGCCAACGAUCUGUAGCUGGUCUGAGAGGACGAUCAGCCACACUGGGACUGAGACACGGCCCAUACUCCUACGGGAGGCAGCAGUGGGGAAUUUUGGACAAUGGGCGAAAGCCUGAUCCAGCAAUGCCGCGUGCAGGAUGAAGGCCUUCGGGUUGUAAACUGCUUUUGUACGGAACGAAAAGCUUCGGGUUAAUACCCUGGAGUCAUGACGGUACCGUAAGAAUAAGCACCGGCUAACUACGUGCCAGCAGCCGCGGUAAUACGUAGGGUGCAAGCGUUAAUCGGAAUUACUGGGCGUAAAGCGUGCGCAGGCGGUUUUGUAAGACAGAGGUGAAAUCCCCGGGCUCAACCUGGGAACUGCCUUUGUGACUGCAAGGCUAGAGUACGGCAGAGGGGGAUGGAAUUCCGCGUGUAGCAGUGAAAUGCGUAGAUAUGCGGAGGAACACCGAUGGCGAAGGCAAUCCCCUGGGCCUGUACUGACGCUCAUGCACGAAAGCGUGGGGAGCAAACAGGAUUAGAUACCCUGGUAGUCCACGCCCUAAACGAUGUCAACUGGUUGUUGGGUCUUCAUUGACUCAGUAACGAAAGCUAACGCGUGAAGUUGACCGGCCUGGGGAGUACCGGCGCAAGGGUUGAAACCUCAAAGGAAUUGACGGGGACCCCCGCACAAGCGGUGGAUGAUGUGGUUAAUUCGAUGCAACGCGAAAAACCUUACCCACCUUUGACAUGGCAGGAAUCCUUUAGAGAUAGAGGAGUGCUCGAAAGAGAACCUGCACACAGGUGCUGCAUGGCUGUCGUCAGCUCGUGUCGUGAGAUGUUGGGUUAAGUCCCGCAACGAGCGCAACCCUUGCCAUUAGUUGCUACGAAAGGGCACUCUAAUGGGACUGCCGGUGACAAACCGGAGGAAGGUGGGGAUGACGUCAAGUCCUCAUGGCCCUUAUAGGUGGGGCUACACACGUCAUACAAUGGCUGGUACAAAGGGUUGCCAACCCGCGAGGGGGAGCUAAUCCCAUAAAGCCAGUCGUAGUCCGGAUCGCAGUCUGCAACUCGACUGCGUGAAGUCGGAAUCGCUAGUAAUCGUGGAUCAGCAUGUCACGGUGAAUACGUUCCCGGGUCUUGUAC